AUAGCCCCUACAAGACCCAGUGGAAAUAAAACUGUGAGACAUUAAAAGACUGCAAGAGGAUCUCUAUAAAUAGGAAGCAGCGUUCAGUGAGAGUGGGCAGUGUGGAGGAGGGGAUUAAGUAACAAACACAAAUUUCCAUGGAAAAUGAUAUUCUGCCAUACAGCCAGCCAUAUUACAGCAUCUCUGAUCUUGCCUUCUUCUGACACACACAUCCUAUCAUUAUCUGACCACUUGUUUCCUAUCAAAAGAUGACCUUGGAAGAGUAAAAAGAAAGAGGAAUGUAGUAUAAAGGAAAAGACCAAAAAAAUAAAAAAUAAAAAAGAGGUUUUCUCGCCAGCAGGAAAAAAAAAACCCUACACAUAUAAUAAUCCUUUCCAGUCUUGAUAAUACAGUCUGUGAAGUGAUAUCGCCUGGCAUUGCUCUGCUUGCUGCCGCGGAACUACUGCAGCUUAGACCAUCUGGGGCCUGGCCUUUUGCUCCCAGCAUCUGCUGGUGUGACACAGACUGACGGGGAGGACACAAAGAGCAUUCAGGCAAACAUUCAGCACCUUGCCCCGUUCUCACUGGCACUGAGAUCCUGCCGAAUUCAUGAGGAGUUUUAGGAAAGUCAGGAGGAGUGUGGUCCUUGGGGUCCCUAGGCCUAUUAAAGACACAGAGCCUUGAUUUCCAGCAAUGUUGAUUUCAUAGUAAAUCUGCAGCAACUGUGUGAAACUGAGGCCUGGCCUUCCAGAUGCCUUUUUUCUGAAGUCAAGCAGCACCAUUUUUUAUUUUUUUUUCAGCAGUUUCUUGUUUGUAAGGAGUCACAGGAGCAUAAGGACCGGCAGAGCAGGUCAGCCUCAGGUGCACGAAGUCCACAGGCCCGUGUCCAACCAUGGCCCCAAACAGAUGAUAGGGAGCAAGAUCAGAUGCAUGGAAAUGCUGCCUGAUGACUCACACUGUGUUAACUGUGUUGCGGACACAAGCAGAGUACGAGUGGAUUUCUUCGCCGGAGAGCUCAUGUUGAAGAAAUAAAGACCUCAGUAACAACAGGCAACAGAAAUGUCUCAGGUCAUGCGUCACGCUGGAGAGGCUGAUAAAUGCCAGCAUUAGAAAAGACCAUGUCUGACUAUGGAGCUGUGCUGUAAUUGGCUUAUUGAACUGACUGGUGUAAGAAAUUACCAUUUUUUUUCCUGAAGUUGGUCUGAGAGAGAACUUACCCUGCAUUGCUGCUGCCUCCCUUUUAUCAUCAAAUUGCAAUCUCAGAUUGCCCAGUCUAUUUGCCAGCCUGGUGCGCAGUUAUUUGCAGACCAAGCAACAAUGCACUGGGGAGGUAUUUCCAGCAGAGAAAACAGAAGUGGCAUUCACAGACAUCUCCCACUGCCUGCGGUGGGAGCUGAGGGAGGUAUCUGAUGACGCUAGCUUUCUGGCUAUGUGCAUUUAGUUGCUAACCUUGAGCUCUACUGACUGUGGACUCUU
This 1455-nucleotide long non-coding RNA is filed under the name Anser cygnoides (Swan goose). RNAcentral's name for it is "lncRNA (ENSACDG00005005557.1)". The record is from RNAcentral. Lineage: Eukaryota; Metazoa; Chordata; Aves; Anseriformes; Anatidae.